UAUCCUUAUUUGCAAGCGCGUUAUGGCGGGAACUCUAAGGAGACUGCCGGUGAUAAACCGGAGGAAGGUGGGGACGACGUCAAGUCAUCAUGGCCCUUACGGGAUGGGCUACACACGUGCUACAAUGGCAGGUACAGAGGGCAGCAAUACCGCGAGGUGGAGCGAAUCCCACAAAGCUUGUCGUAGUCCGGAUUGGAGUCUGCAACUCGACUCCUUGAAGUCGGAAUCGCUAGUAAUCGUAGAUCACAAUGCUACGGUGAAUACGUUC
Molecule: ribosomal RNA, 268 nt
Filed under: unidentified gamma proteobacterium groupD
Lineage: Bacteria; Pseudomonadati; Pseudomonadota; Gammaproteobacteria
Description: partial 16S small subunit ribosomal RNA
Rfam family: Bacterial small subunit ribosomal RNA
Source: RNAcentral